RNAcentral lists this ribosomal RNA (540 nucleotides) under Nakaseomyces glabratus. Its description in RNAcentral is "eukaryotic LSU rRNA". It matches the Rfam family "Eukaryotic large subunit ribosomal RNA", at positions 121 to 666 of the family's 3401-position model. The record is from RNAcentral. Lineage: Eukaryota; Fungi; Ascomycota; Saccharomycetes; Saccharomycetales; Saccharomycetaceae.
UCUGGUACCUUUGGUGCCCGAGUUGUAAUUUGGAGAGUACCACUUUGGGACUGUACUUUGCCUAUGUUCCUUGGAACAGGACGUCAUGGAGGGUGAGAAUCCCGUGUGGCGAGGGUGUCAGUUCUUUGUAAAGGGUGCUCGAAGAGUCGAGUUGUUUGGGAAUGCAGCUCUAAGUGGGUGGUAAAUUCCAUCUAAAGCUAAAUACAGGCGAGAGACCGAUAGCGAACAAGUACAGUGAUGGAAAGAUGAAAAGAACUUUGAAAAGAGAGUGAAAAAGUACGUGAAAUUGUUGAAAGGGAAGGGCAUUUGAUCAGACAUGGUGUUUUGCGCCCCUUGCCUCUCGUGGGCUUGGGACUCUCGCAGCUCACUGGGCCAGCAUCGGUUUUGGCGGCCGGAAAAAACCUAGGGAAUGUGGCUCUGCGCCUCGGUGUAGAGUGUUAUAGCCCUGGGGAAUACGGCCAGCCGGGACCGAGGACUGCGAUACUUGUUAUCUAGGAUGCUGGCAUAAUGGUUAUAUGCCGCCCGUCUUGAAACACGGAC